Molecule: ribosomal RNA, 468 nt
Filed under: uncultured bacterium
Lineage: Bacteria
Description: partial 16S ribosomal RNA
Rfam family: Bacterial small subunit ribosomal RNA
Source: RNAcentral
GACGAACGCUGGCGGCGUGCUUAACACAUGCAAGUCGAACGGUAAGGCCCUGCUUUUGUGGGGUGCUCGAGUGGCGAACGGGUGAGUAACACGUGAGUAACCUGCCCUUGACGUUGGGAUAACUUCAGGAAACUGGGGCUAAUACCGGAUAGGAGCUCCUGCUGCAUGGUGGGGGUUGGAACGUUUCGGCGGUUGGGGAUGGACUCGCGGCUUAUCAGCUUGGUGGUGGGGUAGUGGCUUACCAAGGCUUUGACGGGUAGCCGGCCUGAGAGGGUGACCGGCCACAUUGGGCCUGAGAUACGGCCCAGACUCCUACGGGAGGCAGCAGUGGGGAAUAUUGCCCAAUGGGCGGACGCCUGAUGCAGCAACGCCGCGUGCGGGAUGACGGCCUUCGGGUUGUAAACCGCUUCCGCCUGUGACGAAGCGUGAGUGACGGUAAUGGGUAAAGAAGCACCGGCUAACUACGUG